Molecule: long non-coding RNA, 943 nt
Filed under: Ananas comosus (pineapple)
Lineage: Eukaryota; Viridiplantae; Streptophyta; Magnoliopsida; Poales; Bromeliaceae
Description: long non-coding RNA (ACOM_LNC044644)
Source: RNAcentral
GCAUACAAUCUCCAUUACACUAGUUCACAUGUCACUAGUUUCAUUAUCAAGUCCAAGUUCUUUAUUCUCUUAUCAUCAUAGGAUCUCAUGUCUCAACCUUAAUCAUCAUGCAUUCUAGAUUUAAGUGUCAAGUCUAUAAUACUACACAACUAGACAUGCAUGCAAGAAAAUAGAAAUGUAACUAUACAUAUAUCCUAUAAUGCAUAAGAACCAUAUAUAUGAAAUAUGAUCAACUAUUUUACUCGGACAUAGAAGGAAGCCCGAUUGCUUCGGAUAGACACCCCCCACCUUUUUACAGCGUUCCGAUUGCUCGUCGUCACUCGCAAUCGGCCUCCCGCGGCGCACGCCGCUCGGCUCGACCCUAUUCACGCGCGACCACCGAACGACCUCCGCUUCGCGAUCCGAGAAUUAUAGGUCUUCGGUUUCUUGUCACGAUGCUUCAAAUCCGUUUCCACGAUUUUACGACGUCGCCUCGGCCCUCCAGGCGGAAACGAAGCCUAAACGUCCGUUUCUUUAAUAACUUCGCACUGGCUUGACGAAUCGCCGAACCGUCGCUUUCGACGCGUUCAGUGACCUAUCAAUUAGGUUUCCAGAGGGUUAAAUGAGAUCAAACCCUCAUAUUUUCAAAAAUUGCAUUUCGAGCCCUAGGUUUAUAACUAGGCAAGAAUUAACUAAAUUGAUCCUAGAUUCUAGCAAUAAUCAUCUAUUUAGCAUGCUAGAAUUCCAUUAAAACCAUUUUUAGAGCAUAAGGAUCAAUCCUUAGAGUUCUACCAUUAAAGGGUUUUGAAGCUUACCUCUCAAGCAAGCUCCAAUGGAGAGGAAGAAGAUGAAGUUGAUGAAGAUCAACUUCCAAGCUUGCUUCUCCACCAAAUCCAUCUAUUUUUGGGAGAGAUCUAGAGAGAGAAAGGGAAGUGUUCUCUCUCCCUUUCCAUGUAUGCGUGUG